GAACGCUGGCGGCGUGCUUAACACAUGCAAGUCGAACGGAAAGGCCCUGCUUGCAGGGUACUCGAGUGGCGAACGGGUGAGUAACACGUGGGUGAUCUGCCCUGCACUUCGGGAUAAGCUUGGGAAACUGGGUCUAAUACCGGAUAGGAGCCAUCUUUAGUGUGGUGGUUGGAAAGUUUUUUCGGUGUAGGAUGAGCUCGCGGCCUAUCAGCUUGUUGGUGGGGUAAUGGCCUACCAAGGCGGCGACGGGUAGCCGGCCUGAGAGGGUGUACGGCCACAUUGGGACUGAGAUACGGCCCAGACUCCUACGGGAGGCAGCAGUGGGGAAUAUUGCACAAUGGGCGCAAGCCUGAUGCAGCGACGCCGCGUGGGGGAUGAAGGCCUUCGGGUUGUAAACUCCUUUCGCUAGGGACGAAGCUUUUUUGUGACGGUACCUAGAUAAGAAGCACCGGCUAACUACGUG
Molecule: ribosomal RNA, 463 nt
Filed under: uncultured bacterium
Lineage: Bacteria
Description: partial 16S ribosomal RNA
Rfam family: Bacterial small subunit ribosomal RNA
Source: RNAcentral